GAUGAAGAACGCAGCGAAAUGCGAUAAGUAAUGUGAAUUGCAGAAUUCAGUGAAUCAUCGAAUCUUUGAACGCACAUUGCGCCCGCCAGUACUCUGGCGGGCAUGCCUGUUCGAGCGUCAUUUCAACCAUCAAGCCCCAGGCUUGCGUUGGGGGCCUGCGGCUGCCGCAGCCCCUUAAAAACAGUGGCGGUCUCGCUGUAGUCCUCCUCUGCGCAGUAGCAACGCUCGCACUGGAACUCGGCGCGGCCACGCCGUAAAACACCCCACUUCUGAAAGUUGACCUCGGAUCAGGUAGGAAUACCCGCUGAACUUAAGCAUAUCAAUAAGCGGAGGA
RNAcentral lists this unclassified non-coding RNA (334 nucleotides) under soil metagenome. RNAcentral describes it as "partial contains 5.8S ribosomal RNA, internal transcribed spacer 2, and large subunit ribosomal RNA". The stretch from base 1 to 120 matches the Rfam family "5.8S ribosomal RNA", at positions 35 to 154 of the family's 154-position model. The record is from RNAcentral.